This 69-nucleotide transfer RNA is filed under the name Muraenesox cinereus (daggertooth pike conger). RNAcentral's name for it is "tRNA-Gly". Lineage: Eukaryota; Metazoa; Chordata; Actinopteri; Anguilliformes; Muraenesocidae. The record is from RNAcentral.
AUUCUUUUAGUAUCAAUAAUACGGCUGACCUCCAAUCAGCGGAUCUUGGUUAAACCCCAGGAAAGAAUA